Molecule: long non-coding RNA, 528 nt
Filed under: Brassica napus (rape)
Lineage: Eukaryota; Viridiplantae; Streptophyta; Magnoliopsida; Brassicales; Brassicaceae
Description: long non-coding RNA (BNAP_LNC009832)
Source: RNAcentral
AAUUGAUAGAAUUGAUAAAGUUAUCUUAUUGAAUUCUUCAUCAGGAUUGAUAUUUAUUCUUGUUUUUAGAGUAAUUAACUAAAAUUUUGAUCUUAGAAUAGUGGGUAGAUGCGACAAUGUGAGUGAUUACAUGAAUUGAAUCAUGCUGAGCUAAAUACUUAUUCUAAACGACAUUUGGUCUAGAAAUUUAGUGAACAAAUUGAAUAUAGAAUUAAAGCUUGUCUCAAUUGUUUGAAUUCUCGACAAGGGUUGAUAUUCUAGGAUCUAGACAUAUAUAUAUAUAUAGUUUCUGCAGCGAGAGAUGAUUGACUUUAUAAGUUGUGAUUUGAGUUCUAGAAUCGUUCAUAGAAUUUUUUUAACAUCUAUUGAUUGUAGUUCUGAAUUUACCUGAUUGAUUUUCUAGAAUCUAGCGCUUUUCCGUUCUGUCUUACAACCGAUCAACUUAUUGUAUUGCUUUCUACUGUUUAUCUAGCUUAAUCUCAAAUUUUUUUAUUUUAUUGUGAGAUCUUAGUUUUUAUGGAUUUGAUA